UACGGAGGGGGCUAGCGUUGUUCGGAAUUACUGGGCGUAAAGCGCACGUAGGUGGAUUGUUAAGUCAGGGGUGAAAUCCCGAGGCUCAACCUCGGAACUGCCUUUGAUACUGGCAAUCUCGAGUCCGGGAGAGGUGAGUGGAAUUCCUAGUGUAGAGGUGAAAUUCGUAGAUAUUAGGAAGAACACCAGUGGCGAAGGCGGCUCACUGGCCCGGUACUGACACUGAUGUGCGACAGCGUGGGGACCAAACAGG
Molecule: ribosomal RNA, 253 nt
Filed under: uncultured bacterium
Lineage: Bacteria
Description: partial 16S ribosomal RNA
Rfam family: Bacterial small subunit ribosomal RNA
Source: RNAcentral